GAUGAACGCUGGCGGCGUGCCUAAUACAUGCAAGUCGAGCGAACGGACGAGAAGCUUGCUUCUCUGAUGUUAGCGGCGGACGGGUAAGUAACACGUGGAUAACCUACCUAUAAGACUGGGAUAACUUCGGGAAACCGGAGCUAAUACCGGAUAAUAUUUUGAACCGCAUGGUUCAAAAGUGAAAGACGGUCUUGCUGUCACUUAUAGAUGGAUCCGCGCUGCAUUAGCUAGUUGGUAAGGUAACGGCUUACCAAGGCAACGAUGCAUAGCCGACCUGAGAGGGUGAUCGGCCACACUGGAACUGAGCCACGGUCCAGACUCCUACGGGAGGCAGCAGUAGGGAAUCUUCCGCAAUGGGCGAAAGCCUGACGGAGCAACGCCGCGUGAGUGAUGAAGGUCUUCGGAUCGUAAAACUCUGUUAUUAGGGAAGAACAUAUGUGUAAGUAACUGUGCACAUCUUGACGGUACCUAAUCAGAAAGCCACGGCUAACUACGU
Molecule: ribosomal RNA, 496 nt
Filed under: uncultured bacterium
Lineage: Bacteria
Description: partial 16S ribosomal RNA
Rfam family: Bacterial small subunit ribosomal RNA
Source: RNAcentral